Molecule: ribosomal RNA, 411 nt
Filed under: uncultured bacterium
Lineage: Bacteria
Description: bacterial SSU rRNA
Rfam family: Bacterial small subunit ribosomal RNA
Source: RNAcentral
CAAAGUCGCACGGGCGGGGGGCAACUCCGUCAGUGGCGGACGGGGUGAGUAACGCGUAGGAAUCUAUCCUUGAAUGGGGGACAACCGUGGGAAACUACGGCUAAUACCGCAUGAUGCCUGAGGGCCAAAGACGAAAGUCGUUUGAGGAGGAGCCUGCGUCUGAUUAGGUAGUUGGUGGGGUAAAGGCCCUACCAAGCCUACGAUCAGUAGCUGGUCUGAGAGGAUGAUCAGCCACAUUGGGACUGAGACACGGCCCAAACUCCUACGGGAGGCAGCAGUGGGGAAUAUUGGACAAUGGGCGCAAGCCUAAUCCAGCAAUGCCGCGUGGGUGAAGAAGGUCUUCGGAUUGUAAAGUCCUUUGGCGGGACGAUGAUGACGGUACCCGCAGAAUAAGCUCCGGCUAACUUCGUG